Molecule: long non-coding RNA, 587 nt
Organism: Ostrea edulis (European flat oyster)
Lineage: Eukaryota; Metazoa; Mollusca; Bivalvia; Ostreida; Ostreidae
Exons: 2
Source: RefSeq, a predicted model, not a curated record
UCAGUGUCACUCUAAAAUAUAUGGAUGUACUGUUUCUGAACUUGGAUAUUAAUAAAAUUUUACAAAUACUAAAGAAUUCUAAAGUCUGGAUAUGUGAAAGACAUACAGAUAAACAUGAAAUCAACUUUAUCAUAUAGGUAGAAUCGUUUGUCUGUCCGUGUUUGAGAGAGAGAGAGCACAGCAGACGUAACGUAAAUAUGCCAUGCAGAUAGGCUGCACUUUUUUUCUCUGCUCAUUCUUUUCAAACAGUUUAGUAAACAAAGGUUUGAGGGGUUUGGCGUUUUGCGAUGACACGCGGUAGAGUGUACUCGAGAUCAGUGUAAACACGGACAUCUAAUCCUCCAGCAUCUCAGGACCCGCAAUCAGCAAACACGGUUUUUGGUGAAACAGCGACUUGUCCCACGUGACAGGGAACUUACCUGAAAGAUAUUCCUUGUAUAUCACCCAGGGGACCAGAUAUUAAUUGAAUUUAAUAAGGAGAAAAAGCUGUGGAUUUCCUGGGACAAAUUUCAUUGAGGUUGAAGAUAAAGGUGUGAGAAAUUCAUUCAAGUUUGAUCUACAAUAAUUUACACACUGUGGAUGUUGCC